RNAcentral lists this ribosomal RNA (893 nucleotides) under Cylindrium corymbiae. RNAcentral describes it as "partial large subunit ribosomal RNA". It matches the Rfam family "Eukaryotic large subunit ribosomal RNA", at positions 45 to 968 of the family's 3401-position model. Lineage: Eukaryota; Fungi; Ascomycota; Sordariomycetes; Hypocreales; Cylindriaceae. The record is from RNAcentral.
AAUAAGCGGAGGAAAAGAAACCAACAGGGAUUGCCCUAGUAACGGCGAGUGAAGCGGCAACAGCUCAAAUUUGAAAUCUGGCCCUAGGCCCGAGUUGUAAUUUGUAGAGGAUGCUUUUGGUGCGGUACUUUCCGAGUUCCCUGGAACGGGACGCCUUAGAGGGUGAGAGCCCCGUACGGUUGGAUACCUAGCCUCUGUAAAGCUCCUUCGACGAGUCGAGUAGUUUGGGAAUGCUGCUCAAAAUGGGAGGUAAAUUUCUUCUAAAGCUAAAUACCGGCCAGAGACCGAUAGCGCACAAGUAGAGUGAUCGAAAGAUGAAAAGCACUUUGAAAAGAGGGUUAAAUAGCACGUGAAAUUGUUGAAAGGGAAGGACUUAUGACCAGACUUUUUCUAGGCGGAUCAUCCGGUGUUCUCACCGGUGCACUUCGCCUAGUUAAGGCCAGCAUCGGUUUCUGUAGAGGGAUAAAAGCAGCAGGGAUGUGGCUCCUCCGGGAGUGUUAUAACCUGUUGUAUAAUACCUUUAUGGGGACCGAGGUUCGCGCUUCGGCAAGGAUGCUGGCAUAAUGGUCAUCAGUCACCCGUCUUGAAACACGGACCAAGGAGUCGAACAUUUAUGCGAGUGUUUGGGUGUUAAACCCUCACGCGUAAUGAAAGUGAACGGAGGUGAGAGCCUUAGGGUGCAUCAUCGACCGAUCCUGAAGUCUUCGGAUGGAUUUGAGUAAGAGCAUAACUGUUCGGACCCGAAAGAUGGUGAACUAUGCGUGGAUAGGGUGAAGCCAGAGGAAACUCUGGUGGAGGCUCGCAGCGGUUCUGACGUGCAAAUCGAUCGUCAAAUCUGCGCAUGGGGGCGAAAGACUAAUCGAACCAUCUAGUAGCUGGUUACCGCCGAAGUU